UGAAGCGGCAACAGCUCGAAUUUGAAAUCUGGCUUCGGCCCGAGUUGUAAUCUGUAGAGGACGCUUUUGGCGCGGUGCCUUCCGAGUUCCCUGGAACGGGACGCCAUAGAGGGUGAGAGCCCCGUAAGGUCGGACACCAAGCCUCUGUAAAGCUCCUUCGACGAGUCGAGUAGCUUGGGAAUGCUGCUCUAAGCGGGAGGUAAACUUCUUCUAAAGCUAAAUACUGGCCAGAGACCGAUAGCGCACAAGUAGAGUGAUCGAAAGAUGAAAAGCACUUUGAAAAGAGGGUCAAAUAGUACGUGAAAUUGUUGAAAGGGAAGCGCUCAUGACCAGACUUGCGCCUGGCGGAUCAUCCGGCUGUCUCAGCCGGUGCACUCCGCCUGGCGCAGGCCAGCGUCGGCUGUUGCGGGGGGACAAAAGCACUGGGAACGUAGCUCUCCUCGGAGAGUGUUAUAGCCCUAUGCAGAAUACC
This 472-nucleotide ribosomal RNA is filed under the name Cephalotheca foveolata. RNAcentral's name for it is "eukaryotic LSU rRNA". It matches the Rfam family "Eukaryotic large subunit ribosomal RNA", at positions 94 to 577 of the family's 3401-position model. The record is from RNAcentral. Lineage: Eukaryota; Fungi; Ascomycota; Sordariomycetes; Cephalothecales; Cephalothecaceae.